UGGAAACGGAAGUAGAGCUCUGAAGCCACCGACGCAUUUUCAGCGUCUUCCCGAGUCAGGGCGGGAAAGUGACCGCCUGCCGAUCCUCAAAUCUGAUUGGUCAACUAAAUGGCCACCGAUCGCAGUUUCUCUUAUCGGUGGGGACGGUAACCAUGGAAACGCGUGGCUGGGCCAGGACCUGUCCUGUGGUUCUUACCUGCGGCUGCUGACGGCUGGUCCCAGGUCAGUUUAUCAGGCGAAGACCCACGCUCAGCAGGUGCAGCUGAGAGGACAGCGCCCCCUGUGGUCGCUUCCCGGCUGCAGGAAGCAGAAAUAAAGAGCCAGUUUUAUUCCUAAGACCCGUUCAGUUCGGGUUUUCAGGUGGUUCUGGCCAACAGCUAAUAGAAAAAUGAACAUGGCAUCAGCUAAAAGUCAUAAUCACCAAAAUAAACAGAAAUAAAGUUCUGAA
Long non-coding RNA from Xiphophorus couchianus (Monterrey platyfish), 448 nucleotides. RefSeq lists it as uncharacterized. The transcript is spliced from 2 exons. Lineage: Eukaryota; Metazoa; Chordata; Actinopteri; Cyprinodontiformes; Poeciliidae. The record is from RefSeq and is a predicted model, not a curated record.